UUCGAAGAGUUUACUUGGAGAAAUUUUUAGUGGCGGACGGGUGAGUAACGCGUGGGUAACCUACCCAUAAAACCGGGACAACCCUUGGAAACGAGGGCUAAUACCGAAUAAUCUUUUGAUGCGGCAUCGUAUUAAAAGGAAAGGUGGCCUCUGUAUAUGCUACCGAUUAUGGAUGGACCCGCGUCUGAUUAGCUAGUUGGUGGGGUAAAGGCCUACCAAGGCGACGAUCAGUAGCCGGCCUGAGAGGGUGAACGGCCACACUGGGACUGAGACACGGCCCAGACUCCUACGGGAGGCAGCAGUGGGGAAUCUUCCGCAAUGGACGAAAGUCUGACGGAGCAACGCCGCGUGUAUGAUGAAGGUCUUCGGAUUGUAAAGUACUGUCUUUGGGGAAGAAUGAUGUAUUUGAAAAUAUUGAGUACAUAUGACGGUACCCAAGGAGGAAGCCCCGGCUAACUACGUGCCAGCAGCCGCGGUAAUACGUAGGGGGCAAGCGUUGUCCGGAAUUAUUGGGCGUAAAGGGCGCGUAGGCGGAUAGUUAAGUCCGGUGUGAAAGAUCAGGGCUCAACCCUGAGAGUGCAUCGGAAACUGGUUAUCUUGAGGACAGGAGAGGAAAGUGGAAUUCCACGUGUAGCGGUGAAAUGCGUAGAUAUGUGGAGGAACACCAGUGGCGAAGGCGACUUUCUGGACUGUAACUGACGCUGAGGCGCGAAAGCGUGGGGAGCAAACAGGAUUAGAUACCCUGGUAGUCCACGCUGUAAACGAUGAGUGCUAGGUGUAGGAGGUAUCGACCCCCCCUGUGCCGCAGUUAACACAAUAAGCACUC
Molecule: ribosomal RNA, 826 nt
Filed under: uncultured bacterium
Lineage: Bacteria
Description: bacterial SSU rRNA
Rfam family: Bacterial small subunit ribosomal RNA
Source: RNAcentral